CUGAAAGAAGUACUGAAAACUCAGCUGUCAAUCAAGCGCUACGCCUCCUUUGGUGCGUCAUGCUGUAGGAUGGCCUGCUAUUUCAUGUGCAUUUUAACACUUGUGCAUUUGCAUGACAGACCCGUGACUUGCAAAUAAGCCUGGAUCUCUCUUGCUGCUUUCAAACAGGUGGCUCACUUCUGCACACGCCAGCAGAGGAACACAGCAACCAGGUCAGCCAAAACCCAGAUGCAACCCUCCUAGAUCAGGAUCCUGGUUCACCAUCUGAGCUUUGGCGUAGACGUGCUGUCAGAGUUUGCUACGAGCCAGUGUCUACCGGUCUUCCAUCUGUGGGAGCGCUUACCCUACAGAGUCCUGCUUUAAUCUGUACUGAGAGCUCUUUGCCGGGACCGUCAGCUUGUGAGGAGCCCACGCCGCACAACAGACAGGAGAAUGUAGCUGGGUUAGACCGGCCAGCAAGCAAUGACAUCUUCCUCUCAGAGUCAGAGGCUAUUAGGAACACCUUAGCUGUAAAGGAGGAAACGUGCAGGAGUCUAAAUAAAGUAGAGACUGGAUGUGCAGGAACUGAGCUACAAAACAGUAGAAGACAAAUAGAGAGUUCUGGGAAGUGCCAAAAAUCAGAACAUAGCAGCAGGACAGAGGCCUUAAAACUUCUGAACCAAGGGCAGCCUUCCAAGUCAGCGGACGUCUGGGAUAAUCAAGGAUUCAAUUCAUCAGGGGAGACCCAAGUAGAGGAGACUGGGAGUUGUCAAGAGGGAAGAGGAGAUUUAGAAUGCACUGGGAGGAGUCAAGCGGAAUCCAAAAGCAGUGGACAGAGUCAAGCAAGGACAGGGAACAGUGAGACUCAAGAGGAACGCAAAACAAGUGACUCAGAAACAUCAAAGAAUCCAAGUGUCCAAGGUGAAGAUCUAACUGACACUCCAGGGGUGAGUUACAUCCAUUAUCAAACAGUUUGUUGAACCAUAUCAUUUCAUUUGGUACGA
This 983-nucleotide long non-coding RNA is filed under the name Sinocyclocheilus grahami. RNAcentral describes it as "lncRNA (ENSSGRG00000014073.1)". Lineage: Eukaryota; Metazoa; Chordata; Actinopteri; Cypriniformes; Cyprinidae. The record is from RNAcentral.